Molecule: long non-coding RNA, 1209 nt
Filed under: Phoenix dactylifera (date palm)
Lineage: Eukaryota; Viridiplantae; Streptophyta; Magnoliopsida; Arecales; Arecaceae
Description: long non-coding RNA (PDAC_LNC014602)
Source: RNAcentral
CCAUCUGGUAGUCCCACCACCGCUCAAUAAUGUCGAUGUACUCCUAGACAUGCGUCGGAUCUGCCUCAAUGAUCUAGGUCUUUGCCCUCUUCAUUAUGUGAUACAGGAAGCCCAUUUAAGAUACCUCUUGUUGUCUACGGCCCGAAGCACUUCAUACAAUGGUCUGAUAGUCUUCACUAUCGCAGUGCCCCGCUACUAAAAUAUCUGCCUCGUCACCAAGUCCUCGACACUGCUCCCUUCAAUGUCGGCCCUCGCAUAUCUACUUUUCUGCCACUCAAGACUGACAAACAUCUGACGUAGAGUUGCUUUUCUCUCAGAAAGACUAUCAAGUACAACAUAGUUGAUAGCAAACCGUAUAACUCCUGAUCUCAAGACCUCUCACCCUACAUACCUCCUCAUCAAUGAAAAGACCCACAUACGGUUAUAAAUAUACCCAUUGAUGGUUUGGGUUGCCUUCAGUGUUUGCCGCACCCUACAAAUUUUUGUAAUGUUCAUCAACAUGAGGUCGAUACAAUGUGCAGCUAAUAGGAUCCAAAAAAUGUGGCUGCCGCUCCAUCAAGAUCUCUCCGGCAGCCUUAUAUUGGGGUCCAUUAUCAGUGAUGACCCGCACGACAUUCUCCGCUCUUACCUAAUCAAUCACCUCCUCCAUCAUUUUAAGAAAGUACAUGGCGUCUGUCACAACCCCCAUUCUGCGGGCAGCCGCGACGGUCCUAGGGUGCGGGUAGGCAUAAAGCCACCAACCACCACGUAGAACCUUAAACCUUCGAAACAUUUUGGCAUGAUAUAUGCACAAAAUAAGCACUUUUGAUCUACGUUAACCUGUCAGGAUAUAUCAAAACAUACAACCACUCUACCUGUCAGAGCAGCAAUUACAUAACCUGUCACAUAAUAAACCUGGACAAUAUAUAGCAAUACAUUAUCACAGGCACACAACUGAUCUGUAUAAAACCUGGUUCCCAAUCCAUCCAUGGCUAACCCAUAUCCACAACAGGAUCUAUGUCUAUAACUGUACACUAUAUACAACUGAAAGGUUUAUAAUACACCAAAAAUAUAUAAACCUCUAUUCUACAUUAUACUAUGGAGCAGCCAGCUAGCAGGCAACCUCUAGUCCUGCACCUCUCUAUACGGCACCUGCCCUGCAACAAGGAUAUCAACUGGGGAGUGAGUAUAUGAAUACUCAGUGAGUGGAGUAGAGAGUACUAUGCACAU